GGUAAUAGCUGAUUUUAAAAGUCCAACUUUUAAGAUUGGCUAUUAGUAGGACCGAUCUUAAAAGUGUAACUUUUAAGAUCGGCUAUCAAU
This 90-nucleotide microRNA precursor is filed under the name Cajanus cajan (pigeon pea). RNAcentral's name for it is "miRNA gene-KK1_050168". The record is from RNAcentral. Lineage: Eukaryota; Viridiplantae; Streptophyta; Magnoliopsida; Fabales; Fabaceae.